Long non-coding RNA from Hypanus sabinus (Atlantic stingray), 2851 nucleotides. RefSeq lists it as uncharacterized. NCBI's taxonomy places the organism in Eukaryota, Metazoa, Chordata, Chondrichthyes, Myliobatiformes, Dasyatidae. The record is from RefSeq and is a predicted model, not a curated record. The transcript has 2 exons.
CAGGAACCCCUCAACCAUCAGGCUCUCAAACAAAAUGGUUUCACUGUAGCGGUGUGCUACACGCAGUGCUAAAAUAACGACACUGGAGUCGGUAAACUGCAGUUAAAGGAAGAUUUUAUUCUAACUUCGCGGCCUCGCUUUAAAACCUCCCUGAUCCCGCCCUCCCCUGGCGCGGAUGCUGUAGGGGCACGCACUCACAAUCCCCCGCAGGCUUUUCCCUUUGUUGGUGAAGCAGACCUGGCGCCCCUUUGGGGACUGGCCUUUGUGCCGGCGCGCUGGCUGUUUGUGAGACGGUUCCAGUGCGCUAGGAAGUGGGUCGCCACAUCACUUCACUUGCCCAUCACUGAACCUUUCCUACAACCAAUAGACUCUCUUUCAACAACUCUUCAUCUCAAGUUCUCGAUAUGUAUUAUUAUUUAUUUCUUUUUGUAUCUGCACAGUUUGUUGUCCUUUGUCGAACAGCUGAGUUGGUGCGGUUUUGCAUUGAUCUUGUUAAGGCUAUUCUCUAUUAUUGAUUUAUCGAGUCUGCCCAUGAGAAAGUGAAUCUCAGGGUUGUAUAUGCUGUACUUUGAUAAUAGAUUUUCCUUGUACUUUGAAUGGAAAGAAAUGUGAUCUCAGUGAUUUUGACGAUGGAAUGACUGUUGGUGCCAGAUGGGGUGGUUUGAGUAUCUCAGAAACUGCCGAUCCCCUGGGAUUUUCACACACAAGUCUCUAAAAUUUAGAGAAUGGAGCAAAAAACAAAGUAAAAACCAUUUAGUGAGUGGCAGAUCUGUGGGUGAAAAUGCCUUUCAAGUGAGAGGUGUGACAGGGAAGUGACAGUAGCUGGAAUAGCCAUGGGGUAUAAGGCGCCUGAAUCCCCCAGCCGGUUGCGCUUCGAGCUCCAGAUUCCAGCCUCUGCCGCUGUUGUGGUUGAGGUGGCCAGCAGGAAAUCAGGCCUUUCAGCCACUGAGUCAGUACUGACCAGUAAGCACGUCCCAUUUUUAUACCUCUCACAUUCUCCCCCCAAACCCAGAUUCAUUGGAACUAACAGAACUAUUACUAGUUUACUGAAACCAUUCCAACUUUUAUAUGCAGCCUGCACUGUGUGGGUCAAAUGUGUUGUGCUAGUUAACCAAGUGUAUACCUGACCUUUUCCAUGGUGGUCCUGGACCCCGGCUGCCGGGGAUCACCGGGAGAUCCCCAGGAUUUGUUGUACACCCCAGGAGUGUGUCGGUCAGUAUUUACAGGAGGUCCCGGGGAGUGUGUCAGUAUUUACAGGGGGUCCCGGGGAGUGUGUCAGUAUUUACAGGGGGUCCCGGGGAAUGUGUCAGUAUUUACAGGGGGUCCUGGGGAGUGUGUCAGUAUUUACAGGAGGUCCCGGGGAGUGUGUCAGUAUUUACAGGGGGUCCCGGGGAGUGUGUAUUUACAGGGGGUCCCGGGGAAUGUGUCAGUAUUUACAGGGGGUCCCGGGGAGUGUGUCAGUAUUUACAGGAGGUCCCGGGGAGUGUGUCAGUAUUUACAGGGGGUCCUGGGGAGUGUGUCAGUAUUUACAGGGGGUUCCGGGGAAUGUGUCAGUAUUUACAGGGGGUCCUGGGGAGUGUGUCAGUAUUUACAGGGGGUCCCGGGGAGUGUGUCAGUAUUUACAGGAGGUCCCGGGGAGUGUGUCAGUAUUUACAGGGGUUCCCAGGGAGUGUGUCAGUAUUUACAGGGGUUUCCGGGGAGUGUGUCAGUAUUUACAGGGGUUCCCAGGGAGUGUGUCAGUAUUUACAGGGGUCACGGGGAGUGUGUCAGUAUUUACAGGAGGAUACUGGAGAGUGUGUCAGUAUUUACAGGGGAUCCCGGGGAGUGUGUCAGUAUUUACAGGGGGUCCCGGGGAGUGUGUCAGUAUUUACAGGGGGAUACUGGAGAGUGUGUCAGUAUUUACAGGGGAUCCCGGGGAGUGUGUCAGUAUUUACAGGGGGUACCGGGGAGAGUGUCAGUAUUUACAGGGGGUCCCGGGGAGUGUGUCAGUAUUUAAUGGGAUUUCGGGGACUGUCUGUGUAACACAGGCUCUCUUUAAUCUGGCCAGGACACCUACAUUCCCCUUAAUCUCAGCGGUUUACCCUAAUGUCGAACACCUUUAGUAAUAAAGAGAAGUGAAACCGUGUCAAAGAGGAACGACCUCACAGAGACGGGAAAGGGCCUGUGUACUGUACCGGUGAAGAUGCCAGUUUGGAUGGUAGUCUCAGAAAGGGCCAGAGAAAUAAGAAAAGGGGUUGCAAUGCAUUUUUAUUUGUUGAUUAUAUGUAAAAAAACUUCUUGCAGACAAUGGGAGGGCAUCGGGUGGGUUGGUCUGUGCUGGUCACUGGGGUGGUACAUUUCACACACCGCGUAUGCGUUCCAAACAAGACAAAGCAGCUUUGCGAGAACCUUGGGAAGGUCUUUAAUGAACCACAAAGAUUAAAACAGGGAGUUGACCCUCUGCCAGCCCCACCAGGCAGCUCUGAACCAGCAGAGGGUUGUCCGGAGGCCAGUCAGAGUCGGCCUGUGGGCAGCUGCAAGACAGAAGUGUUUAGCCUCCGUGGGAUGUGGACACAGCACAGUCUCACUGUCCUAUCUGCCACUGAAAUGUUCCCAGCGCCCUGACAUCAACGGGACUGGCCAGCAGCAGCUGAGUCGGGAUCUUUACUGGCCAUGCAAAGGAACAGGCUGAGUGGCUCCGACCUCCCACUGUCACUGUCAGAGGGUGAAAACUGCCCCCAGUUUCACUGUGGGCUCCCAGGAGGGCGGUGACAGCAUGUUGAUCGCACUCGAGGAAGACAGCAUACCUGCGAUUCUUGGAAGUCGGGAUGUGGAAAUACCUUGUAUCUGGGUUGGGUGGGGGGGGGGGGGG